Molecule: long non-coding RNA, 504 nt
Filed under: Sus scrofa (pig)
Lineage: Eukaryota; Metazoa; Chordata; Mammalia; Artiodactyla; Suidae
Description: lncRNA (ENSSSCG00070013661.1)
Source: RNAcentral
GCCAGUGACAUCCAUUCUGCAUGGCCAUGAAUAUUUAUUGUCAUAUCCCUGCACCAGACAGAGUUGGGAAAGAGGGGUUAUGAGGAGGCUUUUCUUCCACACCAGAUGACUGUUGUCCCUCCUCAGCCCAACUGAAGAAAUGAAGUGGAUUGGUCUUUAGUGUGUCCUGGAGAAUGGAGUACUGGGAUUGACCAUUACUAAAGCGUAACUGAUAGCCCAUUGGAAACAAAGAACAGAGGGAGUACUUUCCAAGGAAUCAGGCGACGGGAGAACGAGUAUGAUGAAGAAAGAAUUAAAAUCCAAGGAGGAACAGAAGAAAAGUAUGUAGAAAAUGUGAUUUCCCCAAGGCUCGUGACAUUGUCUUGUAAGGGAAGAUGGGUCUGACUGCCAGUAGCAGCCUUAAACAAAAUAAUCAAAAAAGUGAGCCCCCGCACAUAAGCUCGAGACUAUCAGAUACCUGUCACGAUAAAUACAUUACCUUCAAUUCUUACAACAGUAUGGCAA